This 254-nucleotide ribosomal RNA is filed under the name uncultured bacterium. RNAcentral describes it as "partial 16S ribosomal RNA". It matches the Rfam family "Bacterial small subunit ribosomal RNA", at positions 524 to 776 of the family's 1533-position model. The record is from RNAcentral.
UACGUAGGGGGCAAGCGUUGUCCGGAUUUAUUGGGCGUAAAGAGCGUGUAGGCGGCCAGAUAGGUCCGUUGUGAAAACUCGAGGCUCAACCUCGAGACGCCGAUGGAAACCAUUUGGCUAGAGUCCGGAAGAGGAGAGUGGAAUUCCUGGUGUAGCGGUGAAAUGCGCAGAUAUCAGGAAGAACACCCGUGGCUAAGGCGGCUCUCUAGUACGGUACUGACGCUGAGACGCGAAAGCGUGGGGGAGCGAACAGG